Molecule: ribosomal RNA, 477 nt
Filed under: Candidatus Scalindua wagneri
Lineage: Bacteria; Pseudomonadati; Planctomycetota; Candidatus Brocadiia; Candidatus Brocadiales; Candidatus Scalinduaceae
Description: bacterial SSU rRNA
Rfam family: Bacterial small subunit ribosomal RNA
Source: RNAcentral
UUCGCAAUGCCCGAAAGGGUGACGAAGCGACGCCGCGUGAGCGAAGAAGGCCCUAGGGUUGUAAAGCUCUGUCGGGGGUUAUGGAAUGUAGACUGGUUAAUACCCAGUCUAUUUGACAAAGGCCCCAAAGGAAGCCACGGCUAACUCUGUGCCAGCAGCCGCGGUAAUACAGAGGUGGCAAGCGUUGUUCGGUAUUAUUGGGCGUAAAGAGCACGUAGGUGGUUUUGUAAGUCAGAUGUGAGAGCCUUCUGUUCAAAGGAAGAACGGCAUCUGAAACUGCAGAUCUUGAGUGUAGGAGGGGAGAGUGGAACUUCUGGUGGAGCGGUGAAAUGCGUAGAUAUCAGAAGGAACGUCGGCGGCGAAAGCGACUCUCUGGCCUAUUACUGACACUGAGUGUGCGAAAGUUAGGGGAGCAAACGGGAUUAGAUACCCCGGUAGUCCUAACUGUAAACGAUGGGCACUAAGUAGAGGGGUUUU